Molecule: long non-coding RNA, 5910 nt
Filed under: Linum usitatissimum (flax)
Lineage: Eukaryota; Viridiplantae; Streptophyta; Magnoliopsida; Malpighiales; Linaceae
Description: long non-coding RNA (LUSI_LNC007577)
Source: RNAcentral
UUGCUUCAAUUUUAUUUUUCAAUUACGCUACCCAUUCUAUUCUAUAAAAUGAAGUUUCAUCAGAAUGGUUUUGUACAAUUAUACAGGAAGAUUUGACAUUAUUAUUAUUAUAUAUUAAGAGAGAAGAAUAUGAUAAACUAUGUAAGUAUUAUGAGUAAUAAGGUGUGGGUGGGGUUGGAUGAGUAUAUGAUACAUGAUAUGAUGGUGGAUUGUUGAAGCAAUCAAUCAGGAUUCAGGAAGGCGACUUCUAUCCAACUUCCACCUUUCUCUUCCCUCAAGGCGUCGGAGCAGGGAAUUGAACGGCGGGAUUACUGGCUUUUCAACACCGUCACCGCCGGGCUACUUAAAAAGCGAAGGUGAAAGCCAGGGUGAAAAUUGUUUCCGCCGCGCCGGUAAUUAUAGUAGUCAGUACUCGGUAUUUCUUCAAGUUUGAUCCUACUCCUCCCUGCCUAUGAGCCAUGACAUGUCUAUCCGAACUAAAUUUGGAUGAAGUGGGGUCCACGUGGACCACAACCAGUAAUGCCAGCUAUGCGCGGCUGUAGACUACUCAGCAAGUCAGCAUUCGCACCCACCCACUGUGGUCCUCGCUAACGUCCGCUGCCCAAAAUACAGGCCUAGAAAAUAGCCCAUAUAACCGGCCUUUUGCCUGCUCCGGUCCCUUCAAACUGAAUUUGGAUAGCUUGGAAGCUCCUUCACACUGACUUCGAGCGUCAUUAAAUUGAAAUUUCAAAUUAAAUAUCCACAUAUAUUAAAUCAACAAAUACAUUAACAAGUCGAGAUUAUAAUACCAAAGAUCCACAUUGUACAACAUGGAAAAGAUGAACGAGAUUUAUAUCUUCAUAAUUUACAUUGUAUAUAUGUUGAAGUCAAGUUCAACGCAUUUAUGUUAACGGUUUCUCAAACUCGUCUCUCAAAGUAUAUAUAAAGAAUAUCUUUAAAAUAAUCCAAAGAUUCAUCAUAAAUAAAAAAAUAACCACCUACAUAUCGAUUUGAUAAGAGAUAUAUGAAAUCGACUCGAACGAUGAAAAAGAUAACUAUAUUGUUUGUCUAAAUAAGAAUUAAAAUUAGUUAGAUUAGUAUCUAUUGUCUAUUGUUAAGCCCUACGCCUAGUGGCCCACAUUCAUUGACUAACAAACAAGCCCAAGCAUUCACACCCAACAACUUGUAGAAGAUCAGCUGUCAAUCAGGUUUAGAAAUCCUGAAACCACGAAAGAACUACUAACCCUGAAACACAUUGACUUCCAUCGUUUGUCACAUUCACAAAUAUGACUUGGCGUUGUGUCGUAUCAUCUAACAAGACGUCCAUAUCAGCUGGAGGUGGCUUAACCACCCAUGUCUGGGAGGAUCUCAAGCCUAGCUAGGCAUAUCAUAUUCCUUCAUCAUAAAUGAUCAAGAUAUUGUCUAGGCCUAGUCAUCAGUCGCCAAUAUGGACUUAUAUAAGGCACGUUGGUCAUGCAUUUAUGACACAUAACCCUGGCCCAACAUGCCUAACACCCACGACACAUCCCCAAUACUUUUUUGUCUCACACACACAUUCUCAUAUGCCUACUCUCGUUGACAUCACUCUCCUCUUACUAUGGGAACCACACAUCGAGACUCAUAAACAUCCACAAAGGAACACUCACAUUCUCAUCCAACUCAACUCUAUAGUCAAACCACUUAUUGGUCUACCACCUAAAUAGACGGAACAAUUAUGUACAUGAUAUAAUAUAAUUAUAUAUGAGAAAUAAUUUUAGGAACAUAUUAGACCAUCUUCAAUAUUAAAUCUCCUAAACCCAUGUUCAAACUUAUGUGUUUGUAUAUUUGAACCUAUGAAAACGUAUACAUUUGUCCAUAUUUCAUACAUUUUGGGCGCAUUAAAUAUGAGAAAAUGUGGCAUAACAGUUAUUGCCAGAACAUAAAUUUUGUGUGAAUAACUUUUGAGGUCAUUUCUAUACCAAAAUUGCUCUAAAAACACCUUUUUGGACCAAAUAGACUUCCAACCGCCUACCCUGGACUUGGUUGACCACAACAUAUUAGACAAAUUAUUAUUGUUGUUGGAUAUAAUAAUUGCCUCCAAUCNNNNNNNNNNNNNNNNNNNNNNNNNNNNNNNNNNNNNNNNNNCAACUAUAUCAUAGUAUCAUACCAUGUCUCUUUUCUUUCGGAAAUAAUAACACAACAUAUCUCAUAUCCCAAUAUUAGCAAAUAACUUCAAUGAUAGGGAGACAUGGAAAUGUUAUUACCAGGAAAAAAACAUACACAAAUUAGUUAGAAGUUAGGUGUGUACUACCAACUCAAUGACAGCCAUAGGGGAACAAAUCAUAUAUAUAAACACCAUGUUUGUGUAAUUUGUAUAUUAAAGGGUUGUCUCAUCCCAACCCCGCAAUAAAAAAAGAAGUUAUCUGAAGUUAUCUUCUGGUAUUUAUCUCUAAUUAUAUCAAUUUAAAGGCCACCAGUUAGACUAAAUCCAUUAAUUGAUACGCUUCAAUUAACCAACAACUCAAUAUGAUUAGUAUAUCUCCUACUAUGAAUAAGAGGAUUAGCUGUUAAGCAUAUUCAUGCAUUUAUGUUAUUUCAUGCAUAACUUUUUGGCCUAAUACACUAAGCCAUCGGAAUUGGACGUAUAAGAGAGAGUGGCAUGUGAGUGUGUCGGAGAAUUAGAAGGGGAUUAGCGGGUAGGCCACAGGAUAGGAACAUGGUUGACCAGUGUGGUAUAUUCUUCUGGUGGAUCCGUUUCUACUUUUUAGAUUUUUGGGCAGUCAAACAUUCCAAUUGGGAAUCUAACGACCACACACAGCCAUCCCUCUCCAGUCUCCACAUACUAACAAACGAAACGAAAUGAAAUGGUCUUUUCUUUUCUUUCUAUGUACGCUUAAGAAGUCAGCUGUCCAGUCAACCUAAAUUCUUGUGUACCAGCCUUGCGCUUCUAAGCAAAAGGGUUCAGUCUCUUUGCUAAGCAAAAGUGUUCGUCAUUACCAAAAGAGAGAGCUGGAUAGGUAUGUGCACACUAGUGGACACUAGUGAGUAGGGAUUAACUAAUGCAGGUGUUAAAGAGGGAAAAGAAGUUGCAGCUGGUUUGAAUGGAAAGACUUAUCUGGUCAGAGAGUCCAUGCAUGGUGGAUCAGCAUUCCCUCUUUUUGCUUUAGGAUGCUCUCUGUCACACGACACGAGUAUUCCUUGAUCGCCUGCAGUGCCCAUGCAUUUUAUUUUAUUCUUUAUUUUCGCUUUUCAGCUGGGGAAUCAACUUGCGUGGAUGGAAUAGCUUUCAUACAAUCUCCCUGCAUAUCCCAACUUUUCAUCUUUUUGCUAAUCUAGUAACUAACUUGAUGGGUAAGAAUGUCACUAUGAUUUCCGACUAUUCCUGCAACAAUAGGUGAUCAUUAAAUCAAAACAAAGUCAGUCAAAUAGUACAAAAUGUGGAAGAGAAUCAUUCUCGUAUUCUGUAAUUAAACAUAUCCAUGUUUAAUUGCAUUACACCAUCAUGUAGUAAUUUUUGACGGAAAGAGGAAUCGUCUCAAAGUCUAUCAAGAUUCACACUACUUAUCAAAUAUCAGAAAGAUACAAAAUAGAUAGAAUCGGGUAAAAGUAUUGCAUGAUCACUAAGUGCACUGUCUGUGAGAAACCUUCCUAUAGGCCAGUAUAAAUAUCCUUCCUUCCCAUAUUCAUUCCUCAAACUUCUCUGCUCUCCAUCCUUCACUACCAUCUCUUACUUUGGUAACACCUAAUUCCUCACCAUUCACCAACCCAAACCACAGCAUGGACUACAGAAAUGACUCAUCUGAGAACUCAAGGUCCUCUCUCUUUCUCUCCCUCUCUACCUCCCAUUCACAUUCCACAUGCAUGCAUUUACUUUCAUGUCUGACAUAUAUUCAAGCUUGAAACUUCCAUAGAAACAAUUGUAUAAUCGAAUGAAUAUAAUGGUGUUUCCUAUAUAUGGUGGCAGGAAUAAGUGUGCAGCGUGCUUUAGGCAGUUCAACAAAAAGGAACACCUAGUGGAGCACAUGAGGAUCUCCUUUCACUCAGUGCAUGAACCCAAGUGUGGAAUCUGUAAGAAGCACUGCAGAUCAUUUGAGUCCCUGAGGGAGCAUCUCAUCGGUAAAUAUUUCUCUGCACAAAUAGUAUAUACUAUAGUGAACCCAAACAUUUCAUUAAGUUUUAUGACAAGGUUAAACAUGGUUCUUUACAGGACCAUUACCAAAGCAAGAGUGCAAGAACAUUUUCAACGUCCGGGGAUGCAGAUUUUGUCUGACCAUUCUUGACAGCUCAAAUGCCCGCAGGGCUCACCAAGAUAGAUGUCAGUUCCCUAACGUUAAUGCGGUAAUGUGAAAGUUAUCAGUCAAUCCGUUUUCCUUAUAAACAGAGGAUAUAUAUCUAAAUCAAAUGUUGUAAAACACCUUUUCAACCAGGGACUGCUUGCUCGAGUGGCUACUCUAGGCUUGCGCGACAGCUUGAGUACAGAAAGUGGCUACUCCAGAGGGACACAAGUUGUUGCACUAGCGUGUAAGAUGGUUGGAGGAGGCAGUGAUGGCUCCCUCGAUCUCUGUGGGAGGGUUUGCCUCGUCGACGAAAACGAAAACAUUCUUUUCCAUUCCUAUGUCAAACCACCAAUUCCAGUCACCAAUUGCAGGUACAGUUCCAGUCAUAUACCGAAUUACUAUUGCAACUUUCUACUAGUGUUAGCUGCUCUAAUUAAAGCUUAUUCUUUGAAUAAAUAAAAAACACUUCAUAGGUACGAAACCACAGGGAUAAGGCCAGAAUAUUUGAGGGAUGCAGUCCCACUAAGACAGGUGCAAAAGAAGAUUCAAGAUUUCCUAAGCAAUGGUGAGCCCAUGUGGAAAAUUAGACCAAGAGGAGGAAGAGCUAGGAUUCUCGUGGGUCAUGGAUUGGACCACGACCUUGACCGCCUUCAAGUGGAAUACCCAGCUGUGAUGAUCAGGUACAUAUAAAGCUAGCUUUUUAGUCACUAGAUUCCUAUCUCCUAGGAGGUGGGGAUUGGCUGACCAACAAGUUGAUUAAUAAUCGUAUGGAAUCAUGUCAUGUUACUGCAGGGACACAGCAAAGUACCCUCCAUUAAUGAAAACAAGCAAGCUUAGCAACUCACUCAAGUACCUAACACAGGCCUAUCUCGGGUAAGUAAAGUUAAUUAUCAAGCCCAAGCUUUUCUCCACAGUAGUCUGUAAAAUGUAAAUUUUCUUUAACAUCAGUCCUAUCUAUUGCAGGUAUGACAUUCAAAUGGGAACCCAAGACCCAUAUGAAGAUUGUGUGGCAACUAUGAGACUGUACAUGAGGAUGAGAUCUCAACGACAUGGUGCAGAGGAUUAUCCAGUUGCCACUGAUCCACAGAACCGUAACAAUUUGGCUCCGUGGAGGCAAAAUGAGCUGGAGAGGAUGAACCCAGAGGACUUACUAGCUUUAUCCAAAUCAGAUUACUACUGUUGGUGCUUGGAUUCCUAGUCAGUUUGAUAAGAAGAUAAGGUAAAGAGGCCUGCCUAUUCAUAAUCAUGAGUAGAGAUAUUUUAUACUAUGUACGUCUUCCAGAUUGGAGACAUAUUCUAUGUUCUUUGUGCUUCUUGUGUGUGCUGUGUUCAUUUCCUGGGCACUGUAAGCUAUAUAUAACCAAUAAAGCGAAAAAAUAAAAAUGAUUAAAGUGUUCAAUCUUUUCGGAACUUAAACAAUUAGAGCUUUCUCCCAGCACAUGCAAACACUGGUCCCGUCAUUAACCAAUUUUGGCGUCGAAAAUUAGGGUUUCACCAAGCAACCAAACAGAGUAGCAAACGUCUUACGGGAAUUAUAGAAUAUUAUCAGCAGUGAAGACUUUGUGUACCUUUUGAGCAGAUGAGCGGUUGCUGGCGGUGAGCAAUUUCGUUGCAACACGCUAUAAGUGACCAAUGGAUUCGUCGACCUCAAUGAUCCGCCCAGCGAUAUUGUUAG